UACGUAGGGGGCAAGCGUUGCUCGGAAUUACUGGGCGUAAAGCGCACGUAGGCGGCUUUCUAAGUCGGGGGUGAAAUCCUGGAGCUCAACUCCAGAACUGCCUUCGAUACUGGAGAGCUCGAGUCCGGGAGAGGUGAGUGGAACUGCGAGUGUAGAGGUGAAAUUCGUAGAUAUUCGCAAGAACACCAGUGGCGAAGGCGGCUCACUGGCCCGGUACUGACGCUGAGGUGCGAAAGCGUGGGGAGCAAACAGG
RNAcentral lists this ribosomal RNA (253 nucleotides) under uncultured bacterium. Its description in RNAcentral is "partial 16S ribosomal RNA". It matches the Rfam family "Bacterial small subunit ribosomal RNA", at positions 524 to 776 of the family's 1533-position model. The record is from RNAcentral.